Molecule: long non-coding RNA, 313 nt
Organism: Nycticebus coucang (slow loris)
Lineage: Eukaryota; Metazoa; Chordata; Mammalia; Primates; Lorisidae
Exons: 4
Source: RefSeq, a predicted model, not a curated record
GGAGACAAUACCAACACGAUUGGUAUUGUUGAAAGUGCUACACAAAAGCAAAUAGAGUAUUUCAGAGACUCUUUCAGAGAAGGAUCUUAGUCAUUCAUCUCAGGAUGCCAAUCAAGAAGAAAAAAACAGAGUAAAUGCACAAGUAGAAGGACACAAAAUUUUAUCAAAAUCAGUGAAAGAGGAAGAAGAACCUAAAGGAAGUGAAAAUAACCAGCCACAGAAUUUAUCAGAGAAUCUUACCAAGGAGGAUCUUAGUGGUUCUUCUUGGACUGGCAAUUCAAAUGGAUACAAGACAGUACCCAAACAAGUAAAG